Molecule: ribosomal RNA, 968 nt
Filed under: Lipomyces lipofer
Lineage: Eukaryota; Fungi; Ascomycota; Lipomycetes; Lipomycetales; Lipomycetaceae
Description: partial small subunit ribosomal RNA
Rfam family: Bacterial small subunit ribosomal RNA (bases 1-390)
Source: RNAcentral
GUCCUGACAAAUUCUCGUGCCAGCAGUCGCGGUAAUACGAGGAGGGCAAGCGUUAAUCAUCAUAAUUCGGUCUAAAGCGUUCGUAGAACGGCUUUUUAAGUCCCUACCCAUAAAGAGGCGAUACUGAUUAGCUAGAGUUGGAUAGGAGAGGGAAGAAUUUCCGGAGGAACAUGGAUUAAAUCAGGAUACCGGAGAGACUUCCAGAGGCGAAAGCAUCCCUCUAUAUCUAAACUGACGUUGAGGAACUAAAGCUAGGGGAGCGAGCCGGAUUCGAUACCCGAGUAGUCCUAGCCUACAGCGAUGAAUGCUCAUACUUGAAUUAAAUUAUUGAUAACAUGGGUAAUAGUAUAUAUAGAUUACAAUAUUGCUAUUAUGUAGAUUUUAUUUUAUUUAAGUUUGAAUAUAAGAAAUAUAUAUGAUCAUUUUUUUAUUUCUUAUAAUCAGUCUACCUGGAUAUUUUGGACAUCUUAAAGAUUAUAUUCUAAUUCUUGUAUAACCUUAAUGUAUUUUAAGACAAUUAGAAUUUACAAACCUUUAUUGUCGAUUAAUCUUUUAAUUAAAAGUUAUGCUAUUAAUUAAAGAAGAACCAUAAUUAUUAUUAUAACCUUGAUUGGAUCUUUAUUUUUAUUAAAAUAAAUGCAAUUUUUAAUAAUAGUUAAAAUACUUAUAGAAUAAAGGACCAAAAUCCUUGUAAAAUAAAAAUAUUAUCACCUUCUUUUCUAUUAAAUUAUAUAAUUUAAUACCAUAAAUAAAUAAUAUUUAUUUAAGAUAUAAAUUAGAGAUUUAAAACAUCAGAAGGACCGACUUCUGUAUAUUUUCUUUUUAUAAAAUAUACUUAUUAGUAAGUUAUACAGUAAUGCUCAGAAUUUUAGUAUCUAGUGAAGACGUUAAGCAUUCCACCUGGAGAGUACGUCUGAAAGGAUGAAAUCCAAAACAUUAGNCGGUUGCAGACUUCAGCAGUUAAGCAU